AUUGAACGCUGGCGGCAGGCCUAACACAUGCAAGUCGAGCGGAUGAAGGGAGCUUGCUCCUGGAUUCAGCGGCGGACGGGUGAGUAAUGCCUAGGAAUCUGCCUGGUAGUGGGGGAUAACGUCCGGAAACGGGCGCUAAUACCGCAUACGUCCUGAGGGAGAAAGUGGGGGAUCUUCGGACCUCACGCUAUCAGAUGAGCCUAGGUCGGAUUAGCUAGUUGGUGGGGUAAAGGCCUACCCAGGCGACGAUCCGUAACUGGUCUGAGAGGAUGAUCAGUCACACUGGAACUGAGACAAGGUCCAGACUCCUACGGGAGGCAGCAGUGGGGAAUAUUAGACAAUGGGAGAAAGCCUGAUCCAGCCAUGCCGAGUGUGUGACGAAGGUCUUCGGAUUGUAAAGCUCUUCAAGUUGGGAGGAAGGGCAGUAAGUUAAUACCUUGCUGUUUUGACGUUACCAACAGAAUAAGCACCGGCUAACUUCGUG
RNAcentral lists this ribosomal RNA (484 nucleotides) under uncultured bacterium. Its description in RNAcentral is "partial 16S ribosomal RNA". It matches the Rfam family "Bacterial small subunit ribosomal RNA", at positions 30 to 507 of the family's 1533-position model. The record is from RNAcentral.